AUUGAACGCUGGCGGCAUGCCUUACACAUGCAAGUCGAACGGCAGCACGGGUGCUUGCACCUGGUGGCGAGUGGCGAACGGGUGAGUAAUACAUCGGAACAUGUCCUGUAGUGGGGAAUAGCCCGGCGAAAGCCGGAUUAAUACCGCAUACGAUCUACGGAUGAAAGCGGGGGACCUUCGGGCCUCGCGCUAUAGGGUUGGCCGAUGGCUGAUUAGCUAGUUGGUGGGGUAAAGGCCUACCAAGGCGACGAUCAGUAGCUGGUCUGAGAGGACGACCAGCCACACUGGGACUGAGAUACGGCCCAGACUCCUACGGGAGGCAGCAGUGGGGAAUUUUGGACAAUGGGCGAAAGCCUGAUCCAGCAAUGCCGCGUGUGUGAAGAAGGCCUUCGGGUUGUAAAGCACUUUUGUCCGGAAAGAAAUCCUUGGCCCUAAUACGGUCGGGGGAUGACGGUACCGGAAGAAUAAGCACCGGCUAACUACGUG
This 486-nucleotide ribosomal RNA is filed under the name uncultured bacterium. RNAcentral describes it as "partial 16S ribosomal RNA". It matches the Rfam family "Bacterial small subunit ribosomal RNA", at positions 30 to 507 of the family's 1533-position model. The record is from RNAcentral.